UUUUUGCCUCCUCUGCCCACUUUGGAUAUCGCGGAAGGCGCACUAGACAAUAUGAUCGACAUUUACAAGACGAUUUUGCCAAAAGUCCAAGGAUACCUUCAAGAAGAUGGGUACUUGAUAUGUGACAACUUUGAGGAACUCUUGAAGAGGA
This 151-nucleotide non-coding RNA is filed under the name Chloropicon mariensis. The record is from RNAcentral. Lineage: Eukaryota; Viridiplantae; Chlorophyta; Chloropicophyceae; Chloropicales; Chloropicaceae.